CAUUUUGAACUGCAUGGUUCGAAAUUGAAAGGCGGCUUCGGCUGUCACUUAUGGAUGGACCCGCGUCGCAUUAGCUAGUUGGUGAGGUAACGGCUCACCAAGGCAACGAUGCGUAGCCGACCUGAGAGGGUGAUCGGCCACACUGGGACUGAGACACGGCCCAGACUCCUACGGGAGGCAGCAGUAGGGAAUCUUCCGCAAUGGACGAAAGUCUGACGGAGCAACGCCGCGUGAGUGAUGAAGGCUUUCGGGUCGUAAAACUCUGUUGUUAGGGAAGAACAAGUGCUAGUUGAAUAAGCUGGCACCUUGACGGUACCUAACCAGAAAGCCACGGCUAACUACGUGCCAGCAGCCGCGGUAAUACGUAGGUGGCAAGCGUUAUCCGGAAUUAUUGGGCGUAAAGCGCGCGCAGGUGGUUUCUUAAGUCUGAUGUGAAAGCCCACGGCUCAACCGUGGAGGGUCAUUGGAAACUGGGAGACUUGAGUGCAGAAGAGGAAAGUGGAAUUCCAUGUGUAGCGGUGAAAUGCGUAGAGAUAUGGAGGAACACCAGUGGCGAAAGGCGACUUUCUGGUCUGUAACUGACACU
RNAcentral lists this ribosomal RNA (586 nucleotides) under Bacillus cereus. Its description in RNAcentral is "bacterial SSU rRNA". It matches the Rfam family "Bacterial small subunit ribosomal RNA", at positions 173 to 747 of the family's 1533-position model. The record is from RNAcentral. Lineage: Bacteria; Bacillati; Bacillota; Bacilli; Caryophanales; Bacillaceae.